RNAcentral lists this ribosomal RNA (187 nucleotides) under uncultured bacterium. Its description in RNAcentral is "partial 16S ribosomal RNA". It matches the Rfam family "Bacterial small subunit ribosomal RNA", at positions 151 to 334 of the family's 1533-position model. The record is from RNAcentral.
GAGAAAUUUGGAUUAAUGCUCCCAUGGUAUUAUCGGGUCACAUGGUUUGAUUAAUUAAAGUUACCGGCGGUAAAAGAUAGAGUAUGCGUCCUAUUAGCUAGAUGGUAAGGUAAUGGCUUACCAUGGCGACGAUAGGUAGGGGUCCUGAGAGGGAGAUCCCCCACACUGGUACUGAGACACGGACCAG